RNAcentral lists this small nucleolar RNA (140 nucleotides) under Drosophila ananassae. RNAcentral describes it as "snoRNA:GF26138". Lineage: Eukaryota; Metazoa; Arthropoda; Insecta; Diptera; Drosophilidae. The record is from RNAcentral.
UGGGCAUAGCCAAUUAACCAGGUGACUGCCAUUGGAUGCAGUUACUCGGCAACGCUGUGCCCAAACUAAACCCCAACCAUUGUAAAACAGCGGCGUUAGAUCCCUCAAUGGUCACGUCUCUACCUGUACCCUGGUACAAA